GGGGCCGUAGCUUAGCCGGGAGAGCGCCGCCCUUGCACGGCGGAGGUCCGGGGUUCGAAUCCCCGCGGCUCCA
This 73-nucleotide transfer RNA is filed under the name Acidobacteriota bacterium. Its description in RNAcentral is "Acidobacteria bacterium (soil metagenome) tRNA-Ala". It matches the Rfam family "tRNA". Rfam says of the family: Transfer RNA (tRNA) molecules are approximately 80 nucleotides in length. Their secondary structure includes four short double-helical elements and three loops (D, anti-codon, and T loops). Lineage: Bacteria; Pseudomonadati; Acidobacteriota. The record is from RNAcentral. RNAcentral also lists the same sequence under 3 other names.